This 487-nucleotide ribosomal RNA is filed under the name uncultured bacterium. RNAcentral's name for it is "bacterial SSU rRNA". It matches the Rfam family "Bacterial small subunit ribosomal RNA", at positions 30 to 508 of the family's 1533-position model. The record is from RNAcentral.
AUUGAACGCUGGCGGCAUGCCUUACACAUGCAAGUCGAACGGCAGCGGACCUUCGGGUGCCGGCGAGUGGCGAACGGGUGAGUAAUAUAUCGGAACGUACCUUUCAGUGGGGGAUAACGUAGCGAAAGUUACGCUAAUACCGCAUAUUCUGUGAGCAGGAAAGCAGGGGAUCGCAAGACCUUGCGCUGAUUGAGCGGCCGAUAUCAGAUUAGCUAGUUGGUGAGGUAAAGGCUCACCAAGGCGACGAUCUGUAGCGGGUCUGAGAGGAUGAUCCGCCACACUGGAACUGAGACACGGUCCAGACUCCUACGGGAGGCAGCAGUGGGGAAUUUUGGACAAUGGGCGCAAGCCUGAUCCAGCCAUGCCGCGUGAGUGAAGAAGGCCUUCGAGUUGUAAGACUCUUUCGGUCCGGGAACGAAAUACGCACAGGUUAAUACCCUGUGUGGAUGACGGUACCGGAAUAAGAAGACACCGGCUAACUACGUAG